Long non-coding RNA from Gavialis gangeticus (Gharial), 73 nucleotides. RefSeq lists it as uncharacterized. The transcript has 3 exons. The record is from RefSeq and is a predicted model, not a curated record. Lineage: Eukaryota; Metazoa; Chordata; Crocodylia; Gavialidae.
AGGGGUGCCUAAGCCCUGGCAGACCCCCUUUCGAGCCCCACCGCAGAGUCUGGGGGUAACAUGCAGCCACCAC